GACGAACGCUGGCGGCGCGCUUAACACAUGCAAGUCGUACGGUAAGGCCCUUUCGGGGGUACACGAGUGGCGAACGGGUGAGUAACACGUGAGUAACCUGCCCACAACUUUGGGAUAACGCUAGGAAACUGGUGCUAAUACUGGAUAUGUGCUCCUGCUGCAUGGUGGGGGUUGGAAAGCUCCGGCGGUUGUGGAUGGACUCGCGGCCUAUCAGCUUGUUGGUGGGGUAGUGGCCUACCAAGGCGGCGACGGGGAGCCGGCCUGAGAGGGUGAGCGGCCACAUUGGGACUGAGAUACGGCCCAGACUCCUACGGGAGGCAGCAGUGGGGAAUAUUGCACAAUGGGCGCGAGCCUGAUGCAGCAACGCCGCGUGCGGGAUGACGGCCUUCGGGUUGGAAACCGCUUUCAGCAGGGACGAAGCUUUUUGUGACGGUACCUGCAGAAGAAGCACCGGCUAACUACGUG
This 465-nucleotide ribosomal RNA is filed under the name uncultured bacterium. RNAcentral's name for it is "partial 16S ribosomal RNA". It matches the Rfam family "Bacterial small subunit ribosomal RNA", at positions 28 to 507 of the family's 1533-position model. The record is from RNAcentral.